CUGAUCAAACAAGACACUGUUCUUUUCAGUUUUCUCAACUAACUGGAACAUAAGUAGUUGUUUCUUCCAUUCAUUGUUGCCUUUGUCAUUGUAUUGUUGUAAUGUGUAAUCGUUUCAGUAUUAAGAUUGUUAUAAUGUGUAAUAUUUUCUGUAUCAAGCAUAUGAACCUCCUAAACUUAUGCUACACAAAAGAGUGAAGUUUUAGUUGAAUUGUAUUUGUUGCCUUUAGACUUUAGAGUGGUUUAAGUAUGUCAAGAGGUUUGUAAAGGCUUCGAUAUAAUAAGAUAAAAAUUCUAUAUAAUGACAUUUGCGUAUAAUUUGUGAAAGGGUAACUAUAUUUAUAUGUUUUCUUUAUUCAUUGAGAGGGGAAAAAUAAAUCUGUAUUGAACAGGCUUCUUCUUCUGAUUAUGGUGUAUCCUCGACUAUUUUUAAAGACUAAGAUGUUGAUUUUGGGAAAGUCAAGCCUCUGUCACUUACUGACAUGGGGCUUGUGGAGAAUACUACGAAAGAUACAUGCUUGGUAAUUCUUGGCCAUGAAAGUGUAAAUGUUAAUGGAUGGCAAUGUGUCAAAGAAUAUAGGCACAACGUGAUUUUCUUACAAGAGACACAUCAACAUUAAUCGAAAAAAAUUUGUAGGUGAGUACAUAGUCAUAGUAAAAAAUAGGAGAAUGAAUAUAAAACCACUAUGCCACUGUUUUAAUCCCCAUGUUAAAUAGAGGACUGCUGAGCUUGGAGUGAGUCAUUGAUAUAGACCUCCUUGAACUUUGUUUUCCUGAGGCCUUGUGUGAUGUUUGUGCUCCAUGUUUUCAUCCAUAUUUUGUCUAUCGCAACCUUGAGAAAAAUAUUAAGACACUACUAGACUGUGGUCGAGAUUUGCUGACAUCUUGGUGAGAGACUGCAUGUGGUGGAGGUCCAUCAAAGGGGUCCAGCUUUCAUCAGAGAGUGGUCUGACAUGGUAGACUGUGGUCGGAGGUUGCUGACGUUUUGUUCUGUUAAAGAACUGUGGUUAUAUACUUACAUUAGGUAUGAGGAUUUUUAUUUGGCUCAAUGAAAUGCUGGAACAUACUGGUGUGGUGAAUGUCGAUGGAUAUAUGUAAAUGGAAAUUCAAAUUGAUUGACACAGGCUAAAGGAUUGGCCUCUUAAGAAACUGCUUACAAGGUGUUUGUCAAAAUGCCUGAUAGAAAGAUUUUUGUGACAUGAGGGAUUUGAAAGUGUAUUUCUGGGAUUAAAUUUGCAAUAUCUUUUCUGGUUUAGUUGGAGAGGCUUAAGUUUUUGUUUUUGUACCUCUUGCUAGAGUAACAUUCUUCCUCUAUCCUCAUGCUAUCUGCUUCAGAAGCCUCAUGCUUUCCUGCUGCUCACACCAACGCCUUCCAUGGCCACUUCAAAUUACCUUACCUACUACUCACUCCACAAACUUCUGCCAAGCCCAUCUCUAUAUUCAAGAGGGUCGAAUUCUCUGCCACUUCAUCGUUCAAGCUGCUCUUAUUGCCUCUCAAGCCCAGCCCAAGGGAGUCACACAUACCCCGUUAGACAUUGGAUUCAAACAAAUUGCAUAUAGUAUGAAGAGCAUCCACUCAAAUGCUUCCAAAAAAAGAAGAGGAUAGAAUCAUUGGUUGCUUGCUGCUAUCAAAAGUUAUGUAUGUGUUGAUUGUUGGAAUUUCUUUUAGUAAGAAGCAAAUAGUAAUGAUGUCAAUUUUCAAGCACUGUUGCUACUUGUAGGCAUGUUUCAUCUAAAAAUAGCAAGGAGUGUUUUUGGAAGUGAACUUUAGGAAGAAUUCACUAUUUUAUUUGUUGAAUGUGGUUAUGUUAUCACUGUUAAACAUGUUUUUGAUGUACUAUCUCAUUUGUGAAA
Molecule: long non-coding RNA, 1853 nt
Organism: Quercus lobata
Lineage: Eukaryota; Viridiplantae; Streptophyta; Magnoliopsida; Fagales; Fagaceae
Exons: 2
Source: RefSeq, a predicted model, not a curated record